ACCCAGAAGUUCAAGUUAGUAAAUCGUGAGACUCUGAAUCUCUGGUCUGUGGGUUCAAGCCCCGCUUUGGGCA
This is a non-coding RNA of Podarcis lilfordi (Lilford's wall lizard), 73 nucleotides long. NCBI's taxonomy places the organism in Eukaryota, Metazoa, Chordata, Lepidosauria, Squamata, Lacertidae. The record is from the annotation of a GenBank genome assembly.